GACGAACGCUGGCGGCGUGCUUAACACAUGCAAGUCGAACGGAAAGGCCCUGCUUUUGUGGGGUGCUCGAGUGGCGAACGGGUGAGUAACACGUGAGUAACCUGCCCUUGACUUUGGGAUAACUUCAGGAAACUGGGGCUAAUACCGGAUAGGAGCUCCUGCUGCAUGGUGGGGGUUGGAAAGUUUCGGCGGUUGGGGAUGGACUCGCGGCUUAUCAGCUUGUUGGUGGGGUAGUGGCUUACCAAGGCUUUGACGGGUAGCCGGCCUGAGAGGGUGACCGGCCACAUUGGGACUGAGAUACGGCCCAGACUCCUACGGGAGGCAGCAGUGGGGAAUAUUGCACAAUGGGCGGAAGCCUGAUGCGGCAACGCCGCGUGCGGGAUGACGGCCUUCGGGUUGUAAACCGCUUUCGCCUGUGACGAAGCGUGAGUGACGGUAAUAGGUAAAGAAGCACCGGCUAACUACGUG
This 468-nucleotide ribosomal RNA is filed under the name uncultured bacterium. Its description in RNAcentral is "partial 16S ribosomal RNA". It matches the Rfam family "Bacterial small subunit ribosomal RNA", at positions 28 to 507 of the family's 1533-position model. The record is from RNAcentral.